RNAcentral lists this transfer RNA (72 nucleotides) under Kobus ellipsiprymnus (waterbuck). RNAcentral's name for it is "tRNA-Gln". It matches the Rfam family "tRNA". Rfam says of the family: Transfer RNA (tRNA) molecules are approximately 80 nucleotides in length. Lineage: Eukaryota; Metazoa; Chordata; Mammalia; Artiodactyla; Bovidae. The record is from RNAcentral.
UAGAAUUUGGUGUAAUUGGGAGCACGGAGAGUUUUGGAUUCUUAAGAGUAGGUUCGAUUCCUAUAGUUCUAG